UUCCUGAGAAUAACCAGGAAUAUAGCUGGCUCUGCCCCUACUAGGGACAUGUUCUUCAAUCGCACUAUCAUUCGUGAAAUAAGCUUUAGAUCUACCAAGAACUCGCACAUGCACUCCGAUCCCCAUCAACAAGGAGCAAGUAUCUCAGACCUGCUAAGAUGAAAAUAAGGAAAUAUAACCACAAACACGAAUAUUAGCCGUUGCAUCAACUUAACAAUCUGGUGAAUGACAGGCUACCAUACCGCAAGGUUUCACCAGCCUCACUAAUGACCACACUUGCAGGCUUAUGUUUCCACUUGUGAUUAUUGCAGUUUUUUUCAAAGAACCCUGGAUUAAACCUAACUCACCGCCCCCACCUCAUGGCAAUGGUGCCAGGAGUGCCACGGACGGGACCGCCACUGCACUACUCCGAUGGCUGCCUCCCCUGACCGCCUACAUGGCCCCAAGCUGGGCUGCUGCGGCGGACUGCCGCGACGUAACAGCCGCCUCUCAUGCCGCCCGCCUCAUUUCAGCUGCAUAGAGCCACCACCACACCUUGACCUCUUGUGCUGUUGCUGCUGUUUGUGUUGGGGCCUUUUGCCGGGUUGCCAUGCACCCCUACUGCAGCUAUCUUCUCUUGUGCGCCGGCCUGCAUCAAGAGAGAUGGCUAUGCUGCUUCACCCACCUUCCAUGCCGAGCCCGCUUGCACAACCGAGGCUGCUAUCUUGGCCAUGGCUGCUUGCCUCGCCUAUGCUUUGGAGACAACGAGUAGGAGGGAUGCUCAUAGAAGAGAUGAGAGAAGAAGGGAAAGAGAUACGUAAUAGAGAGAAGAGAAGUGAGGGGAAAAGAUAAGGGAGAAAGAACAGAAGUGAGGGGAAGUGAUAUGGAUCGGAAGAGAGGGUGUGGGUUCUUGUCACUAGUAGAGAAAUGACUUUCCAUCCACCCCUUUUGUCCCGGUUUAAAGUUGGCCCGGGACAAAAGGUUCACCAACCGGGACUAAAACUCGGUCACUGGUGGGGGGCUCACCAACCGGGACCUUUUAUCCCGGUUGCAAAGGCUAGUGGGAAAAAAAGACUCUGAGAGGCAUUUUAUCCCGGUUUGAAACACCAACCGGGAUAAAAGACCGGGUCUUUUAUCCCGGUUGGUGUUUCCAACCGGGAUAAAAGGGUCCCCCACGAGUUAAUACAAAAGGAUAGUAUCCCCUACAUAGUUAGAUGUGGUGUGUAGGUGGGAUGGCAAGGAAGCUACGCGUGAGGCUGGAGGUUGUGGGUUCGAAUCCCACGAACCGCGCACGCGCAUAUUUCGCGUGAAAAAUCGCGUGACUUGUGACUUGUGACUUGUGACUUGUGACUUGCGCGUGUGGGGGGGCCUCCUGGGAGCUCGGGAUUUUUUUUUUUGCAGCGCCGGCCGUGGGUGAACCCAACCGGGAUAAAAGGGGGUCUUUUGUCCCGGUUGAGUGACCCGGGAUAAAAGACCCCCCUUUUGUCCCGGUUGGUUUAUCCCGGAUGCAUUUUCGAGAUCUUUGCACCCUACCAACCGGGAUAAUAGGUGAGUUCUCCACCAGUGUGUUGACGCUCGUUAUUAACAUAUUUUUAGCCCUGUUUAUCUUCAAUAAUGACAUGAAUUGAAUACCUAAACUAUUGAUCACACCUAAUAAACCGGCUAUUUUCACACAUGCAACGUAUUUUGGAGGAUGUUGUGUUUUUGUAGGAAAUUAGGCCUAAAAGCAUAUUUUUUGGAUAAAGCACUGAAUGAGCAUCGAACCAGACGGAGAUGAAGGUCAUAGGGCCUAGGAAGGGGCUAGGCCGAUCGGCCUAGAGGAGCUCAGGACGAUCGGCUUGGCACCCUCUGGAAUCCUCUGGUGCUCAUCUUUGGCAACCAAACCUCCAAAGUUACUUAGGGGCUAUGUUUAGAAAGAUAUGGCAAGGACCAGCUCGGGAUCAAAGAGAAAUCGAAGAAGAUCAAGCGGAGAUUUGGAAAGUCAUUGAAGAUCAAUCUCAUCCUGAAGCUACCGACAUGCCAGGGCAACAUGCAAGUGAAAAGAAGAUUCCUGAGCACCUGAGAAGACUUGGAGACGAAGCAGGAUGCGAGAGGGCAAAAGGAAGGCACCCUCCUAGGUCAAUUGGCCUGGGGGUUUCCUUCGCCCCCUCGCCUUCCAAUUUUUUCCACGCACCCUCUGGACUAUAAAUACCGCCAAAAACCACCAAGCCCACAGAUUGGACAUGACGUAGUCGACGUGAAGCAGCAGAGAAGCAGAAGGAGCUUGAGGGACACUACUUCGGAGAGCGAGGAUCGUGCAGUUGCCAGGGGUUAGCGUAGGCGAGCCUCUCCCGGCGCAAUCACCCUAUGAGGGAGAUUACAAGGUGAUCACGUCAGAGUUCUGGAGCUAGGAGUCAUCAAAAUCAAGGUAGGAUCCCGGUGGUGAUCUUGUGAUGUACAAUCAUUCAUAGUGAAGUAAUAUAUGUGUUCAUAUUCUUAGCGAUCUAAGUAUCUCCUUCUACAGUUUUAUGCUCUAUUGGGUUUGCUUGCUUUUCAAUCUAUUAAUUGGAAAGAUUGCUUAGGAUGUUCUUGUGGUCAUGGUGAUUGGAUUUGCAUGCCUGAUCUACUAAUGACUAUAACAUGUUCUCUUGAUCGUGCCUUUAAUCUACCUAUGCUGAUAGAGGGGAUCAUGACAUGAUCUUUCUUGUGUAAGAUAAGGGGUUUCGGGAGCCGGAUCGGAGGUGUAGAUUUAAAGAUGAUUUUUACUAAGAUUAUAUCUGUGUUGUUUUGCUAUCUAUGCUCAGAAUUAUAAUAUAUGCAUAGUCUAGGUUGCUCUACAUUAGUUAUCUCUGCUCUAUCUAUUAUCUAUCUGUGCAUCUUUAGUAGAUUAUAUCUGGAUCACUCAUCAACACCAAGUCCAUACUAACAAUGCUAGUUAAAAUAGAUCUUGUGCUAUAAGUUCCAUGGAUUGAUAAACCUUAGGGGAGUACUAUGAGGAAAGAGCUACAACUUAUCCGUGCGCUUACCAUUCAUAACUUGAAAUGCUUACAGCUGUCAACAGCCCAUCACCACUGUUUGAAUUUCAAGGUCAUGCGGUGGCUAAAAUUUUCCAUUGACUUUAAGGUGCGGGCCAUAAGGUAUUUCGCCUCAAUUGUCAGAGGCAAACUAUUUCAGCUACUACUGUACUUGAGUCUGAAAGGUGGUAACGGAUAUGGAUGGCACAGGAGUUUUUGUAACAUUUAAUAUAUUGUUAUUAUUAUUUAAGAGAGCCUCUGAUUUUAGGCCAUUCCUAAAUAAUGUGUCGCAUGACCAAUUUUGCUGAAAUGAUAAAAUAUUUAUAAAGAAAGAGAAAGGAUCUCAUCACGAUAAAUUAGAUAUACAUAAUUUUCAAAACUAUGAAAUCUGUUGAAACUUCCACGAGGCUAGAGAGUUUUAUUUCAUCCUAUUGCAUCCAGUGAAAUAAAACCGUAUAUUUGAAGUCCUAUUUCACUUAUCAAUUCAAACCAUUUAUGUGAUGUGACACUCUUAGGAAUGGUGAAAUAAAAUUCUCCACCGAAAAUGAUCUUAAUUUCACCUCCGGUUCCCAAAUCCCAUGACCGGCCUGCCUGUAAUUUGCUAUUUGGGUAAGGACAAUGCAAAAAGGAGCUAUAAUAAUUGCUGUUGGUGAGCCAAUGAUGUACGACAAGGACAAAAUUCAGGAUAAAUCAUGGAUGGUGGAGGUCAAAAUCGAUCCAUUUCAUGUCCAAACUCUGCAGCCAUUGCAGUGAGGGAAAAUGAUCCACAAUUGUAGCCGUCUCCAAAGAUUAAUAAUAAAUAUAGGUCUAUGGAGAAUAGCCAUUAUAUUGCGGCUACCAGAGCCACCAAUGCAGGCUGCUUUAUUGCCACUCGCCAUCCCUGCUAUCCUCUCGACCUUCAAGUCUAUCUCUCUGCGUUGUUUAUUGGCUUCGUUUCUUCAGGUUUGUUAGAUAUUGCGUCGAAUAUUUGUCAUCAUGCCACAGAACAACAACCUCUCUAGCUAGGGUUGUUGUUCUCUAUGGCGUGGCAACACGCGGUGCGAGCUCAGGAUGCAGGUUUGCAUGGGAUGAGUUUGCGUGCUUCCAAAUUAGCAAGAGCGCGGAUCGAUUCGAGAUGUAUGUACGGGUUUCUAAAGCACGGAUCAAAAAGCACGAAGAUGCUUCAAGGGUUGAACUGAAAGGAAGUAUAGACGACGGAUAUAUGUACUUGCAAUUGGAGUAAUUUGAUUGGUCGUAGCUGCAGGAGACUAGGUGUAAGACGCCAAGUGUAGUAUGGUAGUGGUAACGCAAGAGCAAUGCUUACGUGGCAAUUCCGAUAUGUGACUCGCUAUCGAUUGUGAGGUUCUCAGUACCAUGUAUACAAUCAAUUGGAGCAUGGUGUUAGAUUUAGUUAGCUAAUAUUGCUAGAGAGGUAUCUAAUUUUGGUUGGUAAAGAUUGUGGUGAUGUGGAGGAACCUCCUAAAUUAACCUGGCUAAAGUGCACUUAAGUCGUCUAACACACGAUCAUGUACCUUAAAUAAGUCAACUUAGUCGUCCGUCGGAUUUCAUCCGAUAAACCACAUAUACAGGAUCAAGAAGCAUUGCUCACACGAAGGUGAGUGGUUACAAAGAUAACAUUCUGACCUCACUAACAUAAUUCACAGUUAUUACAUCAGAGUUUUUCAAAAUUCAGACAUAGUUUGCACGGUUUCAAACAACGAAGAAGUAAAAUAUGCGGAAGCUAAACGUCGAUAUAUGAUAUCAUGACAAAGUCGAUGAGGACAUCAAUGACCCCUGUCCUCACCAUCUGAGGAGGGAUCCCACUAAACCGUCCAACCCGGAGGGAGCUAGGUAAGCCAAGUAAUGCUAGCAGUCAAAACACUAACAUCCAAGCUACCUGAAAGUAAAGCCACAAGCAAGGCUGAAUAUACUAAUACUCAACUAGACUUACCCAUCGGGUGGCAACUACUCCACCGACUCCUAGACAUGCAAGGCUUUUUGGCUGGGGGUUUGUUUUGCCAAAUGCAACUAAAGUAGAUCCUUACUUUCAAAUUUUAGCAUCAGGUUCUAGUCGAUUAACCAUUAUUCUAGGUAAGCACCUAUUCUUCGUAAGCAUGUUGAGCAAACAUUUUAGUCAAGCAUCCUGAUCAUUAAAUAAUCAUUCUCUGUUCCACUUGUUACUCAGUGCAGAAUAGUAAUCAAGUAGUAUCAAACUGGUAGACAAUUCAAAUCGAGUUUCUUAACCUUGCAAUGUGAACCUAAUCCCACGACAUUACGUACCACCACGGGUCCACACAUAUCAACCGUCUCCAUCAAUUCCCAAGCACGUGGCUAGGGCCCACUUCCCUUGGAUACAAGGCCCCACGGUCCCGGAACAUUGCCGUACCAUGACUGCACUUGUACCCAUACGAUGCAUGAGGGGAACUCCAUUCCAGAGAGAGCGGGGAGUAUGCCCACGUCCUAGUUCAAUUAGGUAAUAGGCUUCCCUAUUCCAUACUAGGUAUGAGAUUAGUACUUUCAAAUACUUGACCACGAAUGCCGAUACAUUACGACCUUAACAGCUUUCUUCUAGAUAGACGGGGCAAUCCAGCAAUCCACCAAAAUAGAACAUAUAGCCCAGCCCCGCCCGUCAAUCCUUAUGAUUCCAACAUAAGUAAACAAGCAACUCCUAUAACUCGCAAGUGACAGGAAAUUGCUUGACUUUUACCGAGUUCCUAUUUAGCAUUAUAACUACUCGUCUUAACAUACUAGUAUUCAGCACAUAGGUACCUAGGGGCAUGCAACUAGGGUUUCAAGCAACUCUUAUAAACUUAAUGCACAAACAUAACUAGCAUAAGUAGUGCAUAAAUUUAGAAAAACUGGGUUAUGCUCCAGGGUUUGCUUUCCUGAAUUAUGUUAGUGGGGAGCUCGUUGGAUGCUUCGCUGAUCUCCUGCUCGGCCUCGACGUGGUGGAGCUCGGCAGAUCCUUCCUCCUCAGCAGGCGUCAGCUCGUACGUUUCGUCUGCGAGAUUUGUUUCUACACAAGAUGCAUAUGCAAUAGUUCAAUUUUUCAUACUUUCACACGCAGGAUGCAAAACAUGAAUUAUUGUUGAAGUGUAAAUUGCAUUUCGACCACAUUCACCUAAACAAGGUUCUAAACUUUCAUUAUCUUCAUGAAGUAAGGUGUGUUGUGGUAUAAAACUCGGGGUUGACUUUGAUGGUGAUUGUGUACACAUAUAAGAUUUUACAAUUUAGACUUCAUAAAGAAAGGUGGGUCACUCUAGGGUUGCUCAAGGUUCAUUUGGAAAGUUAUCCUAUUUUUGAAUGUUUUCUUUUAUUUAUUUAAACCGGUUCAUCUUCCAAAUUUUGUUUCCAUAUACAAUCAGCAACAUAUGAUAUUGAGAAUUUAGCAGUAAUUCAACCAUGUCAUGACUAAGUUACUGUAAAAAUUUGGGAUCCAUUGGACUAGUACAAAAAUAAUUAAAAUUGUUUCAUUACCCUAAGGUAGCAUGUACCUAACCAUUUUUAUCUCAAAAUAUACAGUGAUUCUGAGGGUGAACCUUUAGCAGUGGGUUAAAUGUGUAUGAUAGAGACUUUAGUGAAGCUUUCAUGAUUUUUUAGUGAAGGACAUCUAUUUUCCAUAUUUUUCCUUCAUUUAAAUUUGUACAAAAUGUUAAGCAUGUUUCACUCGGUCUCUAGCAGUAACCGUUAUUUUUCCUAGCACCAUCUGACUGAAACAAAGCUAAUAAAAGUGGUUUUGCUAUUUUACCAUUUUUCUAUGAUUUAUUAUGCAUUUAAUGGCUUAAACAAGAAAUAAAUGAUAAGUAAAACAUUUCUACAGUAACAUGUGCAAGAUUAUUUCUCUAUGAAACUACACAUUUCACUGAGUUCAACAGAGUUGAUUUUGCAUUUUUUUUGAUUUUUCUAAAAUUUUUUGUGCUUCUCCAAAAUUUAGUUCAUUUAAAUCCAUUUUACAUAUAGGUCCUAGGACUUUUCAAAUAUUCACAGAUCUACCCUCGGGUUCUACAACUAGGCCCCUGCAACUUCUAAAACUCCUCAAAUCGGUCCUGUGAUCUAGGGCUUGAUCGCGGGAAAAAGGGGUUGGGGGUGCGGGUGUGCUCACCGCAGGGAGCUUGGCAGAGUUUGGGCGGCAGUGGAGGCGAAACGACGGCGAACAGCCAUGUGGAAGACUUCGUGGGCAGCAGCGCGGAGCUCCGGUGUUUCGGCGCCGGCGGGCUUCCUGGCGGCCAACGGUGGGCUGAGCUUCGUGUGGUUGCUGCGGAGCUAGCGGGGGCAGUGGCGAGCGGUGGGGCGGUGCGAGGCAGUGAGCUCCACAACGAGGCGGUGCUGCAGUAGAGCUUUGCUGGAGCUUGGGCGUUCGCGCGUGCGAGGGAAGGAGCAGGUGGUGCAAUUGCUCCUUUUAUAGGAUAGGGGACGAGCUGCGGGGUGGCGUGGAGCCAGCGGAGGCGAGCUGCAUGGCUGAAGCGGAGUGGGGGAACAGCUGGUCGGGACGCCAUUGGCGGGCGGAGGACGAGCUCAGGGGCAAAGAUCCUCAGGCCAUUGGCUUGGCGGGAUACGGGGCGUGCAGAAGCCUCUUUAUUGGGCGGACGGAUUGGCGAAGGUGGCUCGCGUCUAGUCACAUCAUGGCAAUGGUUGGCGGAGCAGAGCUCGCCGGUGAGGGGUGACGGCGUGGUGCACACGGAGGGUGCGAAGCUUGCGCGGGAUAGGGCAAAAGGAUCACGGGCAGAGGAUAGGAUCAGCUCCUGAGGGUAUUGGGGACGACGGCACGUCGUCUUGUCCCAUCGCGCCGGGGAUAGGGCGAGCGGAGCUCACCGGUGGCGCUGGGCCAUGCGGCGGCGACGUGCUGGAGCAUGCGGCGCGCGCUCUGGCGAAAGGGGUGCGACGUGGUUCAGGCGAAGGGGUGAUAUUGUUGGAGGUAUGCCCUAGAGGCAAUCAUAGAGAUGAUGAUAUUCCAUUUGUAUCCAUGAUUUGUAAAUUGUGUUCAUUGAAUAUCCAUUAAAGGCUACUUGAAUUGAUUUGCAAUUAUGUGAAUUGUAUGUGAAACUCUUUACUUGUAUGGUUGUUCUAAAGUUGUCGCUAGUCGGAGUUCAUGUGAGGACACACAUGAAUAUUAGACUAGCACAUGUAUAAGUUGAUGACUAUGUUUCACAAGUCAUGGACAUGAAGAUGUUGAACUAAUAAUGUGGACACAUAUGGAGACAUGUGUUAGGACUGACCCAACACGAGAAGUAGUUCUCUCUUUAAAACAACAUAUACGCUUUGUCCUUAGACCUGAGAUUGUCGCAUGUAUUCUAGAUGUGGAUCGACCUACUUAGGGGCUAUCAAACGCUACGCCGUAACAGGGUAGUUAUAAAGAUAGUUUUCGGGUUUGUCAAGAAGCAUGCUAUGAGACAUGGUCAAUCAAGAUGGGAUUUGCCCCUCUCUGAUUGAGAGUGAUAUCUCUGGGCCCCUCGAGUGAUCGGAUCCGAAAAUGCAUGGCCAUGCUACGUACGGUUAAGAGUUAACCUACAAAGGGAUUCUGAAUCACAGGAUCGAGAAAGAGCGGUCGGCUUGAAGCUAGACCAAAUAUCGUGAGGCAAAGGGAAUAGCAUGUAUAUUAUGUUGUGAUGGUUCGUCUGAUAUGAUCUUCGUGUGCGUAUAGGAGUUGGUACGUCUUGCUAAAGGCCGCUACCGACUAUUGGGCCGAGUAGGAGUACUCGGGCCAUGUCUAUACGUAUCCGAACCCAAAGGGUCGCACACUUAAGGGGCUGGAAGCCCAAUUCGGAUUUGAUCCGAGUUGGAUUAGGUUUAGGAGUACUAAUGGGCCUCGGAUCCAGAGGCCCAUCAGGAACCUCUAUAAAUAGAGGGGUGGGGGCGCCCUAGGGUUUACACCUUUUUGGCGAAACACACUUGCCGCGCCUCCCACGCCCUCGCCUGUUGCAACUCGUGGAUCUAGCAAUCCGGCUUGCGACGCUUCCUCCCUGCACGUGUGGAUACCUUGGAGGUGUUGCGCCUGCAGCACUUGGACGAGCCAUCGACGAGCCGCCGACGAGCCACGACGAGCCGACGACGAGCCGCGGCACCGGAGGCGAUCUUGCUGCACGUGGACGAGCUGCUGAGCAGCUGCUAGACGUGAUCGACUACGUACGACUACGUGAUCGUCUUCACUGCACCGACGCAUAUCUACAUCUUCCGCACCAGUAGUGCGUCGAGUGGUAAUCCCGUGAUCCUUAUACGGCAGUUCUUCCUGGUUAUACGCAGUAGAAAAUUUUGAUUUGCGCUAGCGUAGCCUGCAUACUCCUACCGGUCGGUUUCCGCCAUCGGAGUUAAGUGAUACACGUAAAUCCAGUUGCAGUGAGGGAAGAUCAAUAUGAUUGGUCAAAUCGAAAUCCAGGGUCAUACGCCAGGCACAUUAGAUGUGCAAUAGUAGAUGGGAUCUACUGCCGGGGUCGGGAUUUUGCCGUAUGCGUAUGCUUCGGUAAAUCAGCCGUAACUUUUCGGUACUAUCUCGGAUCGGGGUGAUUUUUAUACGAAAAUUGAUCUACAGAAAAAGUUACACAUGAAUUUCAACAACUUCGCCGUUUUCGGUGAAAUUAGAUUUCCCAAAUUCGGCUUGGAAGAUGGAGUUUCGGGCCUCCGAAGUUUGGAACGUUAGGACGCCUAACUCUGUUUUGCAGGAUGUAUGCAUGUAUCUUGUGAUCAGUAUGGCCCCUUGUGUAUGUGAUGCAUGUGUGUAACUCAUUCGUGACCUGCGUGUCGCGCGUACGGCAACACGGCAGGAGCCAUAUGUGUUGUCACUUUAUUGUAUUUAAUGGUUUGCGUACCAAUCUGUGAUGAUCCAAGCAACUAUGUAAUCUUCAUUACUAGAUUCUUUACUAGCUAUUAGGCGUAAUAGCAUGCUCUAGUUCUUGGAGGACUCAUCACUAGGAGGAUGGCGCACAUGGAACAUGGAGAUGGAGAUCACCAUGGUGAACAGGUUCUAUGGAGAUGGAGAUCACCAUAUGAAAACGGGCCAUACUGUGUCACAAGCUGUGUGAAUGCUAUUCUAUUCUAUUUAUGUUUUACUUUCAGCAUGCUGUGAUGUUAGAAGUAGAACGAUCCCUCACAAAGUUUAAGUUAGUAUGCCCUCCCAACUAAAACUUGCACCGUCCCAUGUCUUGUACAAUUAGUGGUGGAUCUAUGAAAUUAGAGUGCCACUAGUUUUCCUUGACUAGACGGGUUUGUGUCGGACACUUACACGCAUAAGGGUUGGUUUACUUAACAAGGUUAUCUUAACGGUUAAGGACCUUGGGGCAUAAAGGUUGGGCGCCGAGACAUAGAGAUGUCACCCAACAACAGGAGUCAUAUGUGAUAUGAUUAGCAAAAGUUUGCUUACCGAUCUACCUCGUUUGCUAGCGGUGAUGCUAAAGCUCACUAGUAGACUUGUUAGUUGUGGAUCCUGAAUCACUAAGUUUCAAUAGAGGGAUAUUGAUUUUAGUGGGAGUAGAUUCUGUUAAAAUAGUUUAAUGUAAUUUACUCUAUCAUGGAUACGUUUGUCUUAGUGUAUUUUGCAUUACUUUUGUUGUAGAUUAAAUGGCACCUAGCAACACCACCACAUCGUUUGCUUUGCGUUCGGUCCUUGAGAAGGAGAAGUUGAAUGGAACAAACUACUCGGAUUGGAUCCGCAACCUGAGAAUUGUUCUCAGGGCUGAGAAAAAGGAAGAUGUUCUAGACAACCCACUACCAGAAGAACCUGCUGAGGAUGCACCCGCUGCUGCUAAGAAUGCUUACAAGAAAGCAUGUGAUGCUAACCUCGAAGUAAGCUGCCUUAUGCUUGCUUGCAUGGAACCCGAGCUGCAGAUGCAGUUCAAAACAAACCAUGAGGCGCACGAUAUGAUCGUGGCGCUUAGAGACAUGUUUCAAACACAGGCCAGGACUGAAAGGUUCAAUGUGUCUAAGGCCUUUGUUGAGAGCAAGCUAGCAGAAGGCGCAGCAGUAGGACCACACGUAAUCAAGAUGGUUGGUUACACUCAACGGUUGGAGAAGCUAGGCUUCCCACUGGGCCAAGAGUUGGCCACUGAUUUCAUUCUUUCGUCUCUUCCGCCUAGCUAUGGGAACUUCAUCUCGAACUACCAUAUGCAUGGGACGGAGAAGGGCCUGAAUGAGCUGUGUGGUAUGCUCAAGACAGCAGAGGCUGACAUCAAGAAAAGCGCUAGUACCAGCCAUGUGAUGGCGAUACAGAACAAGCCCAGCUUUAAGAAGAAGGGCAAUUCUUGGAAGAAGAAGGGCAAGGCUGGAACGUCCAAGCCAAACCCACCGCCCAAGGUUAAAGCUGGACCUGGACCUGCUCCAGACAAAGAGUGUUUUUACUGUCAUGAACUUGGUCACUGGAAGAGAAACUGCAAGCAGUACCUAGCUUCCUUGAAGAAUGGCGGAAGUAAGAGUACUUCUACCUCAGGUACGCUUGUUGUUAAUGUUAUAGACAACAUAUUUCUCGCUGAUACAAUUAUUAAUUCUUGGGUAUUUGAUACCGGAUCGGUUGCUCAUAUUUGCAAUUCGAUGCAGGGAAUGAUAAGAAGUAGAAGCGUGGAAAGAGGAGAAGUUGAUUUCCGCGUGGGCAAUAAUGCAAGAGUUGCUGCUUUGACCGUCGGGACGAUGCAACUCCACCUCCCGUCAGGAUUUAUUAUGGAGUUGAAUAAUUGUUAUUUUGUUCCUAGUUUAAGUCGAAACAUUUUAUCUCCUUCAUGCUUGAUGAAGGAUGGUUAUUCAUUUGCGAGUGAAAACAAUGGUUGUGUGAUCUCUAAGAAUAAUAUGUUUAUGGCUUUUGCACCCAUUGUGAAUGGAUUAUUUGUUUUAAAUCUUGAUGGUUCACCUGUCUGUAAUGUAAGUGCUAAAAGGCCUCGGCCUAAUGAUUUGAGUCCUACCUACUUGUGGCAUUGUCGUUUGGGUCAUAUAAGUGAAAACCGCAUGAAGAAGCUCCAUUCUGAUGGACUUCUAACUUCGUUUGAUUUUGAAUCAUACGAGACAUGCGAGGCUUGCUUGCUAGGCAAGAUGACCAAGACGCCUUUCACAGGAUUUCCUGAGAGAGCAGUAGACUUGUUGGAACUCGUACAUAGUGAUGUAUGCGGACCAAUGAGCACGACGGCUAGAGGAGGAUUCCAAUACUUCAUAACUUUCACUGAUGAUUUUAGUAGAUAUGGCUAUGUCUACUUAAUGAGGCACAAGUCUGAAACCUUUGAAAAGUUCAAGGAAUUUCAGAAUGAAGUUGAAAAUCAGCUUGGCAAGAAAAUUAAAGCCUUGCGAUCUGAUCGUGGAGGCGAGUAUUUGAGCCACGAGUUUAGCAAUCAUCUAAAGAGUUGCGGAAUUGUUCCACAACUUACGCCGCCUGGAACACCUCAGAGAAACGGUGUGUCCGAGCGACGUAAUCGAACUUUGUUAGACAUGGUUCGAUCAAUGAUGAGCCAGUCGGACCUACCGUUGUCAUUUUGGGGAUACGCUCUAGAAACAGCAGCUUUCACACUAAAUAGGGUACCAUCUAAAUCCGUAGUUAAGACACCAUAUGAGAUAUGGACUGGAAAGGUUCCUAGUUUGUCUUUUCUAAAGAUUUGGGGAUGUGAAGUGUUUGUCAAGCGACUUCAGUCGGACAAGAUGACACCCAAGUCGAAUAAGUGCAUUUUCGUGGGAUAUCCAAAGGAAACUUUGGGAUAUUAUUUCUACAACCGAUCAGAAGGCAAAGUGUUUGUCGCUCGGAACGGGGUUUUCCUAGAGAAAGAGUUUCUCAAAGGAGAAAAGAGUGGAAAGACAGUGCAUCUUGAAGAAGUUCAAGAUGAGCCAAUCGGGCAAGAAUCAAUGAGUGAUGCUAACGUAGCAGAACAAGUUGAGAUACCCAUGGCAAGAGAAGCACCGCCACAACCACGAAGGUCAGCAAGGCUCCGCGAAAUGCGAGAAAUAUUAUUGUUGGACAAUGAUGAGCCUGCGACAUAUGCAGAAGCAAUGAUGGACCCAGACUUCGAAAAAUGGCAGAGUGCCAUGCAAUCCGAAAUAGACUCCAUGAGAGACAAUCAAGUUUGGAACUUGGUUGACCCGCCUGAUGGUGUUAAAGCCAUAGAGUGCAAGUGGAUCUAUAAAAAGAAAAAGGACAUGGAUGGAAAUGUUCACAUCUAUAAAGCACGACUUGUCGCAAAAGGUUUUCGACAAGUUCAAGGUGUUGACUACGACGAGACCUUCUCGCCUGUAGUGAUGCUUAAGUCCAUUCGGAUUAUUCUAGCUAUAGCUGCAUAUUUCGAUUAUGAGAUAUGGCAGAUGGAUGUCAAGACAGCUUUCCUGAAUGGAAACUUAGCUGAGGAUGUGUAUAUGAUACAGCCCGAAGGUUUUGUCGAUCCGAAAAAUGCUGGAAAGGUAUGCAAGCUUCAGAGAUCCAUUUAUGGAUUGAAGCAAGCAUCUAGGAGUUGGAACAUUCGUUUUGAUGAAGUGGUCAAAGGGUUUGACUUCACCAAGAACGAAGAAGAGUCUUGUGUUUACAAGAAGGUUAGUGGGAGCUCUGUAGUAUUUCUAAUCUUAUAUGUGGAUGACAUAUUACUGAUUGGAAAUAACAUUCCUAUGCUUGAGUCUGUAAAGACUUCACUGAAAAAUAGUUUUUCGAUGAAGGACUUUGGGGAAGCGGCAUAUAUUCUGGGCAUUAAGAUCUAUAGAGAUAGAUCAAGAAGGCUUAUAGGUUUGAGCCAAGAUACUUAUAUUGACAAAGUGUUGAAGCGGUUCAGCAUGGAAGAGGCAAAGAAAGGGUUCUUGCCUAUGUCACAUGGCAUACAUCUCAGCAAGACUCAGUGUCUUUCGACUGCUGAUGAGCGGGAUCGCAUGAGUAGAGUGCCAUAUGCCUCGGCUAUUGGAUCUAUCAUGUAUGCAAUGAUAAGUACUCGCCCAGAUGUUUCAUAUGCGCUAAGUAUGACAAGCAGACACCAAUCUGAUCCAGGUGCGAGUCACUGGACAGCGGUGAAAAACAUUCUUAAGUACUUGAGAAGGACUAAAGAUAUGUUCCUCGUCUAUGGAGGUCAGGAGGAGUUCGUUGUAACAGGUUACACCGAUGCUAGUUUCCAAACCGACAGAGAUGAUUCAAAGUCACAAUCAGGAUUUGUGUUCACGCUAAAUGGUGGUGCUGUUAGUUGGAAGAGUUCCAAGCAGGAGACGGUGGCCGAUUCUACGACAGAAGCCGAGUACAUCGUGGCUUCGGAAGCCGCGAAGGAAGGUGUUUGGAUAAGGAAUUUCCUCAUUGAGCUUGGUGUGUUCCCGAAUGCGUCCAGCCCAUUGAAUCUCUACUGUGAUAACAAUGGGGCAAUUGCGCAAGCAAAGGAGCCAAGGAACCACCAGAAGAACAAACACGUAAUGCUGCGAUUUCAUCUCAUUCGAGACUUUGUUAACCGGGGUGAGAUCAAGAUAUGCAAAAUACACACGGAUCUGAACAUUUCUGAUCCGUUGACAAAACCACUCCCGCAGGCUAAGCAUGAUACGCAUGUAAGAGCUAUGGGUAUUAGGUACCUUCUAGAUUGACUCUAGUGCAAGUGGGAGACUGUUGGAGGUAUGCCCUAGAGGCAAUCAUAGAGAUGAUGAUAUUCCAUUUGUAUCCAUGAUUUGUAUAUUGUGUUCAUUGAAUAUCCAUUAAAGGCUACUUGAAUUGAUUUGCAAUUAUGUGAAUUGUAUGUGAAACUCUUUACUUGUAUGGUUGUUCUAAAGUUGUCCCUAGUUGGAGUUCAUGUGAGGACACACAUGAAUAUUAGACUAGCACAUGUAUAAGUUGAUGACUAUGUUUCACAAGUCAUGGACAUGAAGAUGUUGAACUAAUAAUGUGGACACAUGUGGAGACAUGUCUUAGGACUGACCCAACACGAGAAGUAGUUCUCUCUUUAAAACAACAUAUACGCUUUGUCCUUAGACCUGAGAUUGUCGCAUGUAUUCUAGAUGUGGAUCGACCUACUUAGGGGCUAUCAAACGCUACGCCGUAACAGGGUAGUUAUAAAGAUAGUUUUCGGAUUUGUCAAGAAGCAUGCUAUGAGACAUGGUCAAUCAAGAUGGGAUUUGCCCCUCUCUGAUUGAGAGUGAUAUCUCUGGGCCCCUCGAGUGAUCGGAUCCGAAAAUACAUGGCCAUGCUACGUACGGUUAAGAGUUAACCUACAAAGGGAUUCCGAAUCACAGGAUCGAGAAAGAGCGGUCGGCUUGAAGCUAGACCAAAUAUCGUGAGGCAAAGGGAAUAGCAUGUAUAUUAUGUUGUGAUGGUUCGUCUGAUAUGAUCUUCGUGUGCGUAUAGGAGUUGGUACGUUUGCUAGAGGCCGCUACCGACUAUUGGGCCGAGUAGGAGUACUCGGGCCAUGUCUAUACGUAUCCGAACCCAAAGGGUCGCACACUUAAAGGGCUGGAAGCCCAAUUCGGAUUUGAUCCGAGUUGGAUUAGGUUUAGGAGUACUAAUGGGCCUCGGAUCCAGAGGCCCAUCAGGAACCUCUAUAAAUAGAGGGGUGGGGGCGCCCUAGGGUUUACACCUUUUUGGCGAAACACACUUGCCGCGCCUCCCACGCCCUCGCCUGUUGCAACUCGCGGAUCUAGCAAUCCGGCUUGCGACGCUUCCUCCCUGCACGUGUGGAUACCUUGGAGGUGUUGCGCCUGCAGCACUUGGACGAGCCAUCGACGAGCCGCCGACGAGCCACGACGAGCCGACGACGAGCCGCGGCACCGGAGGCGAUCUUGCUGCACGUGGACGAGCUGCUGAGGAGCUGCUGGACGUGAUCAACUACGUACGACUACGUGAUCGUCUUCACUGCACCGACGCAUAUCUACAUCUUCCGCACCAGUAGUGCGUCGAGUGGUAAUCCCGUGAUCCUUAUACGGCAGUUCUUCCUGGUUAUACGCGGUAGAAAAUUUUGAUUUGCGCUAGCGUAGCCUACCUCGUAUCCCAACAGAUAUUUGGACAGGGUUUAUUUGAAAUUUUUUUCAACUAAACUUGAACUUUGGCCUUUCUAUGAUUUUUUAUUCACAGGUCAGGCUUCAACUUCUAAAAAAAGGUUGGGUCCAAAAUUGAGCUACAUUUGAAAAUACAAGGCUUCAAAAUUUGGUGGAACGCCUGGACUUCAGAAUCGAGCUACAAUUGAGUUUGAGCUGAGUUUGACCGUUUUGGCUUGUUUUGACUCAAGUUUUGGAAAGGUUCAAUUGAGAUUUGAUCCUGGGUCAAAUAAGUGAAUUUGUAGUAGACUUGUAGCACUCAAAUUUUUAUAAAGGGUUUGACUCGAGUUUGUAUCUAAAUUUGUGAGAAACAGAGCUGCCAUGUUGAGGAUUUUCACUGUUUUUAGCACUAAGCAAAGCUAAUUUUGCUAGGGUUGUUAUAGUUGAUAGAAGAGAAAGGUGCACAGUUGUAAGGUGGAGUCACGGAGUUGGAAAUUGCGGGGAUAGCAAUGUUUCUUCGGGCAGCUCUUGAAAGAGCGGCAAAGGCGACAACUCAAGUCUGCUGUACAUGGAGGUUCGCGCAUUGACGGCUUCAAGAUGGUGGAAUAUUCGCCAAGGUGGAGUUUGUUAGUGUUGAAUAUUUGUACGAGUCCGGUUAUGAUGUGACUUGAGUUGUGUUUAGCAGUAUAUGGUAAAGUCCGUGUCAUACUCUGUAACCUGAGCCUCGUAAAUAUGAGAGGAGGACUGCUAUUGUAACCAUGAUGACAUUGCGGCAGGCUCACAGGGGAAGGUGGCACGAUGCUGGGACCCCGGAGCGACCGAUGUUGCAGUAUUUGGAAGGAGCGCUCGUAGUCAUACCCUGGGGAUAUAGGCUUAGGCUGAACCUUGUCAACAAAAAUCGUGUCUCCGUUGUCGUCUGUGAUCGUACAACUUCAUCUCGAUAGAUCCAAUCAAUGCUUUUACUGGUGGAGAUUAGUGGGCGGAUCUUGGUUGUGAGGGUUAAUUUUCUAACCUGGUUGCCUUGCACUGUUCGGCCGAUCGAUCUCUGCACUUUAUGAAUACUAGGCAUCAGGGUAGCAGGCAAUGAGUUUUUCAGCUACUACUCUUCAGUUGCUCGCAUUGGCGAUAGGACAGUGCACAGUAUUCCCGUACCAGAAUUGAUUGUCGCUGACACGCUGAUAGUUCAGGUGACCAUAAAGCAGUUAUUACCUCGUUCAAUUUUGUGGGCGCCAUAAAAAAUUGAAAUUCCCACUGACCUCGAGGGGCAAAGGAGAACCGAGUGUCAGUUCUUUGCGUGGACAUUCUUGCUAAAGAAAAAAAUCCUGACGGCAAACAACUUUCAAAAUAUGGAUGGACUCAUAGCCCAAUGUGUAGCCUUUGUAAUAUACAUUCCGAUACGCCCAAACAUCUUUACAAGGAUUUUUCCUUCGCAAAUAAAGGAGUAUAUAUGUAUGACCCUGGCGCGAUGGUUAGAAUUAUCUAACGUAACUGAAAGGACCAAGAUAACUAAAAGGCGGCAAAUUAGGUUUCUAUAAAUUUUUCUUAUCAAAAUUGAAGUUACUAGCCUAAUCACCUCAAGAGCAACUCUAAGAGUCUACCAAAAAAUUCUCCCCCAAAACUAUCUAUUUGGGACUCUACUAAAAAUUUAUUUUCCUAAAAUCAUGUCGUACCACGGCAGAUCCCAAAUAAUAAACGUCUAAAUACUUCAAAACUGGUCAUGUCAGCACGUGAACUCCUCUGUUAGCUCUGGCAGCUUCCCCCUCCGACCUUUCCUGCAUCAGCUUCCUAGCGCCCACUGUCUGGGUGGGGUCGGAGUACCACCAGAGACGUUGUGUAGUCAGAGAGCAGAGGAGCUGGAGGAGGCGGUGUGGCGGAGAAGGAUGCCGCGGAGCGCGCCGCAGCAGGCAGAGCUGGAUGCGGAGAGCAAUUUUCGAAUCAACAACAUGCCAACCUACUGUGCAGUUACAACUAUGGCAAUUCAUCGAACAGUUCGUGAGCAAGAACUGUAACUUGUAAGCACACAUUUAUGGAAUAAUUCAGUGUAAGAGGCAGUUGAUCGAACAGGUAAUAAGAGGGAUCUGGCAGCUCGGAGUACUGAAUACUGACCCGGAACGCGGCGUCGUGGUUGCGGAUGUGGAGGCAAUGGACGGCGACGUAGGUGGCGUCGUCCUGGGUGAUCCACUUGCGCUGGGCGUUGAGGAUGCGGGUGAAGGUGGAGUGCUUGUAGGCGGGGAGCUCCUUGCAGAGCCAAGCGAUCCUUGACAGCCGCCACUGCUCCAGCAGCUCCUCGAGCUCGAACACCUGCAGCUAGGGGGACCUCACCGAGAGUCGGCCCCCGCCGCAAACGCCUCGCCCUGGAACAGGCCCGCCCCGGCCUCCUCCUCCACCUCCGCUUCCUCGUCCCCGUUGUCAGACUCCAGCACGAGGGCGUCCAGCGCUGAGGCUGCCCUUGGACGCGAGACGGCGAGACGGCGCGCGAGAAGCGGCGAUGCGGCAAGGCGGACGGCGGGAGGAAAGGAAACGAAGGGGAACGACAGGGUGAGAGGGCAUCGCAGAGACAGGAAUGGAGCGCCGCAGGCACAGGGAGGGGCGGCGGUCGAGGCCAUGAACAAAUCGACACCGAGCACCAGAAGCUCCGCUACGCACCAGUCACCGCUGCACGCGCCGGAAAUUCCGAGGACGACCGGUUCGGGAGUGAUCAGGGAAGGAUCGUGGCCUUCGUGGGGCGACGUAGGUGUUUUUUUCACCCACGUAAAGAUUUUUUUUAUUUUCCCUAAAUAAGAUUUUAGGGUAAUUUUAAAGAAGCUUUUGGAGUUGCUCUAAGAAGUUUUGAUGUCUUAGCUACAUAUUUCUGGAACAUGUACCUAUCUUUAUAAUACUUGUGGUCCGAUGAGGAUGACUGAAAGCUGGAAAUGUAUCAUCCAUUAUUAGAAAAGGUAUUGAAAUUGCAUAAUACAAGGAGAGUUAGAAAAGCUGAUUUUUUUUCUAAGGUAUCAAAGAGUCGACAAUUACUCCUAGUCCUUGAUACAUGCAAGGACAAGUUCUCUAAUAGAUAUCCAUUCUUCAUCUCUGCAACGGAUAUAUCCCAAAUAGUAUACAACCUUCUUGGCACUCCCACAAAGGCUCCUUCUUGAGGACUUACGAAAACAACCCACUAAGUUGUUUAGGUGAUGCCCAUGACGACCUAGAGUAAGACAUGAUAUAAAGUCAAAGUAACGGGUGGAUGCACACACUUGAUACUCUCUGAGCGCUCCUGAUAUGAUAUUCUUAAUCUUCAUUUAAGGAACUCCAAUAUCCUUGCAAGUGCUUCUCUUCCUAUUGACCUUGAAAUAUGGCUAUGAACUUCGUGGUGUAAGAUAGCUGAAAAGCUAGCGGUGGUGCAAGCAGAUAGCUAUGAACUUCGGAGGUUAUGAACAUGUAUUUAUCACACUUCCGAAAAGCUAGCCGUUGCUCCAUAUUUAGCACUCCAUCCAUUCAAUAUUGUAGAUUGUUUUGAUUUUUGUAUAUAUAUGUGAUUCGGAAUGUAUCUAGAUAUAUCUAGUAGAUGCAUGGUAAAAAUCAUGUAUAUAGAAAACUCAAAUGACCUAUUUUGAAACGGAGGGACUAUUCGCAAAGAAGCCGGACUGAUUCAGUCCCUCCCAGCAAGCAGGACCCUUUUCUUUGGUUUGUACGUUGUGGUGCUGCUCCCUUUUCUGUUUUUCGUAACAGUAGUACCCGGCGGUUUGCUCUCUUUGCUGUUUUUGCUUUCUAUACUAGUAAUGCCCCAGGAGGUUGUUUGGCUGCUGAAUUGUGAGUUGUAGCAUGUUUUUUUGGCUUUUGCUCUUUGUCUUAUUUCUUCUAAUAAAUUUCUCGGCAAAUAUAUUGCCGUAGUUUUCGUGAAAAAAAAUUCGACCAAGAUCUACAGUCUAACCACAUUUUUCCUAAAUCCUCCCACCAAGAAAAGAUUAAACAAUCACGAGCGAUGAUUGUUGUUCAAUUUGCUCCGCCAUGUUUCUGGAGGACAAUACUUUGGGAGUCCAUUUCCUCCAUAUUAUUACCGACAUCGAUGUUGUCUAAGAUCGCGGGGCUGCCUCGGAUCGUACAAGAUGAGCUGCUGCCUGGGCCUUGUCAUCCGCGUCCUGCAUUCUCGCAUUGAACAUGCGGAACUCAUAUCCGACGCCCGGAGCCUCACCUUCCAUCGGCUCCCAUCCACGUCCCCGGAGUCCCCGAGAGUGAACCCCUCGUGAUGCGCCACGUACUGCACGUCCACCACGCCCAUCUGCUCCUCUGGAUCCUGCAAAUUCAAAUUUUGGUUUAAGCGAUCAACGGAAGUUCAGAUCAGCAGAGGAUAUCAUUGAGGAGGGCGAGUUCGAUCGUACAUCGACGCAUCUCCAGAAAUUCCAGUCAAGCCCCCAGCCAUGAACCAGGUCACUCUGGAUCAUGUGCCAGACGCAUGUCCAUGCCUCCCUCGAGAAGACGGGCGAGUUCACCUCCACGAACCCGCUGCACGGCCGCCUAUGCACGUCCGUACCGCACCCCCCUGCAGACGUCGAUCUAUGCAUAGAUAUUAACAAUCCCAGUUCAAUUGCAUGGAUCUAUGAUGAGCAUAGAAUUGAAUAUCAGUAGCAAGCUGAAACUUACUUGUGCAUCUCGUUGUCGCUCACUCUGACGUUGAUGUCGUAGGUCUUCGCCCCCCCUGGUGAUGUCCAUGCCUGGCUGCGAGAUUUCCAGCCCGUGCUUCUUCACAAUCUUGAUGUACUCCUCCGUGUCGAAGGUCUCAGUGCCGAGGUCCUGGUCCCAGAUGAAGAUGUACUCAUACGGUGCGACGAUGCUAGGGUGCAGGAACCUCUUGGCAUACCACCGACGCCGCAUUCCGUUCCAACAUUAUUAACAAUCAUAUCAGAUGGAUAAACCUGCAUCUGUGGCAUUUGCAUAUAUGAUGGACAAAUGGUAGCUCCUCACCAUUUGGCCUGCUUCCUGGCGCUGACAUGGAUGGCCUGCUUGGACCAUUCGAACUCGUCCCACUCUGUUGUCCGUCCAUCGUAGUGAAAUAACAUAAUGUCGAAAUUUUCGGAGAACUGCAUGAUGCAUUAUUCGCAAGGACAAAUCCAUGAUAUCGUUGUGUUAAUUUAUGAGUGGUUAUUAAAAAUCUGGGAAAAAACAUCAAGAAAUUACUUCUCACUUUGUGAACCGUCGCAUUGACGUUGACUUUCUCACUGUAACCAACUGUCAGCGCCAAAAGAUACUUGCGAGUCGGCGUGUCCUGGUCAGUGAUGCCACAAGUUCAAUCAGCCAAAGGAAACAAUCAAUUCAAAAAGGUUCAGAGUUACGAAUGAAAGACUACUAAGAUCAGCGACCUCACGCGGGUCUCCCCACAGCCGGCGCAGGUGAAGAUCAGACUCUCGUACUACGAUAUUUGGCGGUAGCCUGUCCGCGCCUUUUGGCUUUGCCGGCGAAACAACAUUCUACAGCAUACCAUAUAAGAAAAAAAAGUAACAAUAUCAAGUGUGGAACGAGAAACUUAUUUAACUGGAUUCUUUCUGUUUCAGCAUGGAGAACCUGAGCAUCUAUAUAUCCAUAUAGAGGAAGCAUACCGGUAUAGGAUUAAAUUGUCAACAAGUUCAGAACGGUACCUCUGAAGUGGCAUUUGACAUCGGGAGUGGAGUCCCAUCCACAGUUGAAGCGUUGUUUCUGAAUGGCGUCGAGAAUCUGCCAAGUAUGUUGCUACGGGAGGUGCAGUUUCCAUCACCAAUGCUCGAUGGGAAUACUUUUGGUGUGAUUUGGACAGGAAAAGAAACCCCGAUGAUGAACCCAAUUGCUGCCGCGGUCAACACUGUAAGGACGGUAUUUGAUUUCAUUCUCGCUAUUCACUAGGAAGAUGAGAAGUACAUGUUAGUUUUACUAGUUCAAAAUAAAAGGUAGAUCAAUAGAGUAAAAGUUGAAUUUACAUGAAGGCUAAGGAUCCCAUUUUUAACUAACUAAGGAAAAAAGUAGAUGGAGUUUGCUUGUAGGAAACUAUCUCUUAGCAUCUGACACCUCCCGUUAUGCGCAACACUUCACCGUUUAAAGAACAACGUUGAUGAAUCUCGUUGUUCUUGAUACGGUACAAGCUCCUAUCAUACUCUCAAUGUCUAUUUAUGAUCCGGAGGUAGCUACGCAUUAGGAGUGGUAUUAGAUUCUAAGAAGUGGUAUUAGAGCGAAGGUCAAAUUGAUACGAUCUUGUGAGAAGGUUGGUAGUGCUAGGAAACAUAAAAUCAAGAUAAUGUCAAAAAUGUGAAAUUAAAUAGUGAAAUUUGAUGGCAAAGAAAAUUUUAGCGUAUGGCAGUGUGUGAGAUGUGCUUGUCGAACAAGUCUUAAUGCUCUUGAGGGUGCAUAGGACAAUACAACAACUGAAGAAUGGAAGGUAAUAGAGUGUAAAGUUGUCCUUACAAUUUGAUUAUAUCUCUCCUACGAGGUAAAGUACAUGGUAAUCAAAGAAAAUUCAUCUAAGAAAUUAUGAAAAAGCUUUGAAGCAAAGUCGCAGACAAAUCAGUGGGUGCUAAAGCAUCAACUAUUUAGGUUGCGCAUAGAGGGAGGAAGACGAUUCAUCGACCAUAAGAAUGUCUUCAACAAGCCUGCCAUGCAACUGAUUAAUGUUGAUGAGAAAAUUGAGGAGAACAAUAACGUCAUCAUACUAACUUUAUCCUUACCACCAUCACGGGAACAAUUGAUGAUGAAUAUUCUUAUCAGGAAAACUAUUCUCAACUUCAAUGAGACAGUUGCAUAUCUAUUAGAGGUGAAGUUCUUAAAGAUGCCAUAGGAAUCUUCAUCCUCAGUUGAUCAAGCAUUGGCUGUUUUAGUGGAGCAGGCAAAGUCAAGAAUCACGGGAAGAAGAAAGGCAAGAGCAGGGGCAGUCGUACAUGCUAUCUUUGUGAGAAGGAGGGUCACAUGAUAAAGGAUUGUCUAAGUUUGAGGACUAUGAGAGGAGUAUGCUUAGUGGCAAGUGAGGAUGAAAGUGAUGUACUUAUCAUCAAUUAACAUGGUAAUAUUCAUGUAAAUAAUAGUUUCAGGGAUAUGUUUCCCUAUAUAUUCUCUAAGGUAGAUAAUUGACGAAGAAUCUACACUCGGUGAAUGAAACUACUCACUUGGCCGAUUGCAAGGAGUAUGCAACUAUUCACUUGGUGGAUUGCAAGGAGCAUGUGGUCCUAAGGUGGCAACAAUUACAUUGGGGAUGCAUGAUGGAAUCGAUUGCACAUUGAUGGGAGUUUGAUAUAUCCUGGGUUUGAAAAAUAAUCUAGUAUCUGUGUGGUCACUAGAACUCCAAGGUUGUGACGUAUCACUUUGAGGUAGAGUCAUCCGAGUUACUUGCAAAGGGCAAGUAGUCAUGAAAAUUAUCUAGAUUAAUUAAUGGAGGAAAUCGAGUCAUAGGAAAUCUUAAAAGUGGUGCAACCAUUAGGAGAUUUGGUAAAAAUCUGAUCAGGAGAAGAAAGUCAUCUCGUCAGGUAAGUUGUAGUCAAGUGCAAGACUACAAAGGUGGUUGCAGAAUCUAACAGUCGUAGUGGCCUAGAAGGAAGACGUGACAGGCUGACCAUGCAGUAUCAGUGAGCAGGUGUGUCGGUAUUUUAUACCUUGCAACCUACGAAGGGGUAUCCCGAGGUAGUAGAUUUGUUGGUGGGGGAUCGCCGGACUUGGAACUUGAAGGUAAAAGUGAGGACACAAGACACGAAUAUUUACAGGUUCGGGCCGCUAGAGUAGUGUAAUACCCUACGUCCUGUUUGGGGUGUUGUAUAUUGCGCCAUGCGCUUGGGUAUUGGGGUAUGAGGAUUUGCCCUCAUGUUGUGCCUGCUGAUCAAGGUACCCCUGCCCUCCUUGAUCUGCUUCAUGGGGCGGGAUAACUAGUUGGUUACAAGGAGGAGUCAUAGUAGGAUUACGUGGUAUGAGUCCUAGUAGGAUUACAGAGAAAUCCUAGUAGGAGUCCGUCUUCUUCCUUCCUUACGGGUACUGGGGAUCUAUCCCCGAUAAGCCCCCGAGCGCUUCAUAGUCGAAUGCAGCAAUCUUUGAGUACUUUUCAGAUCCUCGCCGAGUAGUUUUAGUGCUCCUCGAGUAUUUUGUCUGGCUGAAUUUUCAAAGUUUCUUAAAGCUGCCAUGAGGCUAUGGUGUGCUUAAAGCCUUUGAUCAUCUUGAUUCUGUAAUCUUCAUAUAUGGAGGGCGACGAAAGUCGCACUCCAUAUGGAGUAACCCUCGAGCCUUAGAUUGAAUUGUAGAAUUAGGCUGAGGGUCAAUAAAAUCUUGAAUUUUCUUCUUUCAAUUUGAAAAAAUCAAUUAUUGGGUGUAGCUUAGCCCUCGAGCCUUGAAAUGAUUGAAUAAUCAAUUCAAGGAUCUUGAAUAUUCACGCAAGUCAUCAUCCGAGUAGUUUUGCGACAUCCAGCCCCCGAGCUUAUGCGCCAGGUGAGCCGUGUAAGCCACGUCGAAUAGUUAUUGGCGCUUAGCCCUUGAACUUGGAAGCUAGCUGAGCCAUUGGAGAUAUUCCGAAUAGUAAUUGGUGUUUAGCCUCCGAGCUUGGGAACUAGCUAUGCCUUUGGAGGUACGCUUAGCAUCCUAGAGCAUCGUCAUCGAAGCUUGAUCUGAAAGAAAAAGAUGCAUACAUUAUGUAGCAUAUUUGUAGAAUAUUGAAAACUACUGAAAUUUAUUCAGUGAUUAAUAUAAAUGUUUCGUGUCAUGCUCUUGUUUCGGCCAUAUUUCUUCCGAGUAGUUAGCCUAUUGCGUUUAGGCUCUCGGUCUUUGUUUAGCCGUAGCAACUGCGUGCCGAGAUCUUUGUCUCUUGUACGCGUACGGGCACUGCCGUUUGCACAGCUUAGAUCUUUUUCUCAUGUAUGUGUGCUAGCAUUUAGGCAUGACGGAUGAUCCAAGGCUUUCACGACUUAAGGCGUGUUCUGCUCGAGAAGAUUAGUGAACUUAAGAGAAGACAAAAAUUAGUAGUCGUCAUUGCGACAAAAAGAGUGCGCGAUUGCGUGCAAGAGUUUGCUGCUCUCCGGUGAGUAGAGCGCGUGCUGUGCGCAUAAGAUUUGUGCCUCCUUAAGGUGUAGCCGUUGUGAGCCUCCAAUAUUUAGUGCAUCAAAUUUGUGGCUAUUGCCUCCAAAAUUUAAUAUAUCAAACCCAUGGUGGUGCCUUCACAACUCAGUGUACCGGACCUAUGGCCGUAGCCUCCGUAAUUUGGUAUCCUAAAAGGGUCUAAUAGAGUUGUGAGAGAGUGACAAUCACUUGUAGUCUUUUGGAGUUGUGCUUUAAAAAAAUUUGCGAUCGGCUUUGCCAAAAUCCUAUACUUGUCACGAUUGCUCCAAUUCCAUGAUAUAGGGUUUGCUAUGAGAUUCAUCUACGUUGUUCUUAAUACGAAGCAAACUUUNNNNNNNNNNNNNNNNNNNNNNNNNNNNNNNNNNNNNNNNNNNNNNNNNNNNNNNNNNNNNNNNNNNNNNNNNNNNNNNNNNNNNNNNNNNNNNNNNNNNAGGAGCAGAUAUCAGGGACCUCACUAAUGUAGAAUGGGAAAGCAGAUAUAAACUAGAAACUGAGUUGGUGGAACUGUAUCACAAGGAAUAAGUGUUUUGGCAGAGAAGGGGUGGUGAGAGAUGGUUACUCGGAGGGGAUGCCAACACUGGAUACUUUCAUGUUGUCGCUAACAGGAGGAAAAGGAAAUGUACUAUCAAGAGCUUGGAGGAUGGACACAUGACAAUAACUGAAACACAACAAUUAAAGUAUCACAUAACAGGAUUCUGCUGAAAACUCUUCGGAGGAGAGGAAGAGCCUAAGAUGCGCCUACAAGAAUCCUUUUGUGACAGACGAAGAAGGGUGGGUGAAGCAGACAACGACCAGCUUACUAGACCUUUUACCAUGGAAGAAUUGGAAGGUGCGGUGAGAGAGAUGAAACCUGAUUCCGCCCCUAGCCUAGAUGGAUUUUCCACUCUUUUUCAAGGAAUUAUUGGGGCAGGUCCGGGAUGAUAUUCUUGAGAUGCCAUUUAGCUUACAUAAGGGGGAGCUGGACUUGCAAAGACUAAAUUAUGGGUGAUUGCCCUGAUCCCAAAGAUAAAAGGAGCAGUGAACACUGAAUAAUAUAGACCAAUUUGCCUCCUCAAUGUCAUCUACAAAAUUAUAACCGAAGUUUUGACUUGAGGUAACUAAGGUUGCUGCUCAGGUAGUUGGAGAGAGCCACACAACAUUCAUUCCUGGCAGGUACAUAUCAGAUGGAGUGCUGAUCCUGCAUGAGGUUUUGCAUGAUCUGAGAUCCAGGAAGAGACGGGGGGAGUGUCCUGAAGCUGGACAUUGAGAAAGCGUAUGCUAAGGCUAGUUUGAAUUUUUUGUAGGAGGUGAUGAAAAGGAAGAACUUCUCCGAACAAUGGAUACAAUGGACAAUGUCUGCGGUGACAGGAGGGAGAGUAGUGGUCAACCUUAAUGGAGAAAGAGGGGGGUUCUUUAGAAGUUACAAGGAGUUGAGGCAAGGGGACCUGCUAUCCUCAUUGCUUUUCAACCUGGAUGGAAAUGCAGUCUGAGAAAUGGUUAAGGACAACAAAGUGAUCACUGGAUUGGUUCCAGAACUAAUAGGAGGGCUCACACAUUUCCAAUAUGCUAAUGAUACUGUGAUUUUUCUAGAGAACAAUGCAGGAACCACAGCGUUGAUGAAAUUCCUGUUGUUUUGCUAUGAAGUGAUGUCUGGCAUGACAAUAAAUUACAAUAAAAGUGAAGUUUUUGUGGUGGGUGCUGAUAAGAACACUCAAGAGAAAAUAGCCAAAUGUUUUAACUAUGCUGUUGGAGUUUUACCCAUGAAGUACCUGGGGAUUCCGUUGAGUCAUGUGAAGCUAACUAAAACAGAGUUGAGUGAUCCACCUGCUAAAAUUGAGAACAAGCUGGCUACUUGGAAUUGCGGACAGCUUUCAUACUAGGGAAAAGGAAUUCUGUUGAAUACCAGCCUGACCAGCAUUCCAAUGUAUAUCAUGGGAUUUUAUCUGCUCCCAUCAAAGGAUUGACACGGCCAGAGCUAAAUUUUUCUAGCAGCGAGUGGGCAAGAAAUAGAAAUACCAUGCGGUAAAGUGGGAAGUGCUGAACAAGCCAAAAGAGUUUUGGGGAUCGGGCUUUAUAGACACCCAGGGCCAUGAACACUGCCCUGGUAUCAAAAUAGAUAUAUAGAUUUGGAGAGUGAGGAUCAGAGGAUAUGUAUUGGAUUGCAGAGGGAAGAAGUACCUAGGGGGACAAUGGCAUCUUGCCAUUUAGGGCGCGGGGGAGGGCGGGCCCACUUUAGAUUCAAUGGUAUUCAAUUGAAUACCCAUUAUUUUUGCAAAAACAUUUCAUAUAUAUAGUGUAUUUUAGGUAUAUGUAUGAAAAAAACAAAAAUACAGAAGUAUUUCACUCAAAAAGGCCCACCGGAGGCCAACUUUGCUCUCCCUCGACUAGCCCAACUGGCCCAUUCGGCCCAUCCGGCCUGCGCAUGCCCACUCGACUGCCCCCAGUCCCCCACCGGCCCACCCCACGCGUGAGCACAUUCACACGCACCACGGGCCACGGCUGCGCACGAUCCCUAGGGCGUCCGGCGGCGGCGGCAUCCGGCGGCGGUGGCAUCCGGCGGGAGGUCGCGGCUGGCGGGCUAGGAGGCGGCGGGUGGCCUGCGUGCGCCGCGCGGCCGCGCGCGCGGUUGGCGCCUGGUCGCCUGGAGCCGAGCGCAGCGGGCGACGGGCCGCCGGCGGCGGCGGCGGACCGGCAGUGGCGGCGGCGGUGCCCGGGCCCGGCGGUAGUCUGCGGCUCGCCGCUCAGCGACUGGCAGGCUAGGAGGGUCGAGGGCGGCUGGCGGCCUGCGCACACGGCCACACGCGCGGUUGGCGCCUGGAGCUGAGCGGAGGCGCCGGCGCGCCGCAGCGGCCGACCGCCGACGGGCACGGGGCACGGGCCGGCGGCAACGGGCGCGCAAGCGCAGCGCGCUACUGGUAGGCGGCUGGGCGCACCAGUGCGCCACGCUUCGGCCGUUCGGCGCCGCAGCUCGCCGGCUCCACCCUCCGCAAGUCCAGUCGGCCGAGCCCCUACUGUCUACUGAUUUGUGGAUUUUGUGAACUGCUAUUCCUGAUUGUUUGUGAAAUUGAGGUGAGCAUUUUCAAUUGUUUGUCAAAUUAGGAUAGCACAUCAACUUGCAAAAUGUGGAUGCUCAUGAAUUUAGUUCAACGUGAAAUUGUGUAACUUUUAGGUUUGAACCAUGAAGAGGAAGGGUAGUGCCGCUACUGAUUUGAGGAUUUUCAUGGCAAGGGCUGCUGCAAAGAAGAGACAACCUGAACCGGAGAAUGUUAAUCAAUCUUGCAAUUUAAGCCAAAUGCAACUAGUGUUAUUCCAAGGGCAGAGUGGUAGUAAAACAAGCACGGUACCACAUGAACCAGUGAGAUCCAACCAGCCUCCAGAGAACGGUACAACAGAAGAUGGUGAAUCCAUACCUGUGGAAGACAAUGAUUCUAGUGAUGAAGACAAGAAUGAUUAUGGCAUUGAGCAUGAUCCUGGAUUGAGGGCUCCGAUCUCAAGCUAUGAUGUCAAUGACCAAGAUUCAGUUAGAAGGGCAUACAUUGCAUUGGGGCCAUGUCAACCAAAGAUGAAGAGGGAUGCUUUUCCGCAACAUGAUUGUGGAGGUAUGCGCCGCUUCCAACAUAAGUGGUUUGCUGAAUUUAAGUGGAUUGAGUACAGUGUGGAUAAAGAUGCUGCAUUUUGCUUUGUUUGCUAUUUGUUCAAAGAUAGCUGCAAAUUUCCUGGUGGAGAUGCUUUUGUUGUUGAAGGGUUUAGAAAUUGGAAUAUGAAAAGGAGAAUUCAUAGGCAUGUUGGUGGUAUCGAUAGUGCUCAUAGUGAAGCUGAAGAGAAAUAUAGAUUGUUCACGAGACCUAAGGCAUCAAUCCGUGAAUCUGUUGCAUCAAACACUGCACAAUUCAAGGCUAAGUAUCUAGCUCGCUUGAUAUGGUCACUUAAGUGCAUAAGAUUUCUGUUGCGUCAAGGGUUGGCUUUUAGGGGUCAUGAUGAAACAAAGGAUUCACUCAACAAGGGGAAUUUUCGGGAAAUUUUAGCAUGGCUAGCAGGAAACUUUGAAGAGGUUAAUCUGGUGGUACUAGAGAAUGCACCACAAACUGUCAGAUGAUAGAUCACAAGAUCCAGAAACAACUCAUUGAUGCUUGUGCUCAUGAAACAACCAAAUUUAUCAUAGACGAACUUGGUGAUGAGUGUUUUGCAAUUCUUGCUGAUGAGUCAAGUGAUGCAUACCUAUUGGAACAAUUGGCUCUUUGUUUGCGUUUUGUCAAUAAAAAAGGAGAACGAGUUGAGCAGUUUCUAGGUCUUGUCCAAGUUGAAGAUACUACAUCAUUGACUCUUAAAGAAGCAAUUCAGUCCUUGCUUAUGAAAUAUCAAUUGCCCCUAUCCAAGGUACGUGGUCAAGGGUAUGAUGGAGCUAGUAAUAUGAAGGGUCAUGUUAAUGGUUUGAAGAAACUAAUUAUGGAUGAGUCCCCUUCUGCUUAUUAUGUUCAUUGCUUCGCCCAUCAACUUCAACUAACACUUGUAGCGGUUGUUAAGGAGAAUACUGAUUGUGAUUGGUUCUUUGGGCAACUUGCUUAUUUGUUGAAUGUUCUAGGGAUGUCUUGUAAAAAGAUCCGUAUGCUUCGCAUUGCUCAAGCUGAAUAUAUGAUUGAAGCAUUGAAAUUGGGUGAAAUUGAAACCGGGCAAGGAUUGAAUCAAGAGAUGGGCUUAGCAAGGCCAGGUGAUACACGAUGGGGAUCUCACUACAGAACUGUAAUGCAUGUUAUGUUCUUGUAUCCUUCAAUCAAGAAAGUUCUCUUUAGGAUUAGGAAUGAAAGUAAAGGGGCUGAGGCUAAUGGGGCUCAAACUAUGCUCACAGUAUUUAAGUCCUUUGAGUUUGUUUUCCUGCUACACUUGAUGAAUGAAAUAUUUGGAUACACCAAUGACUUGUGCAAUGCUUUGCAAAAGAGGGAGCAAGAUAUCGUAAAUGCAAUGGAUCUUCUGGAGUUUACAGAGGUAGAGCUGGAUGUUUUGAGACAAGAUUCUGGAUGGCAAGAAUUUCUUACCAAGGUCACUUCUUUUUGUGAGAAGCACAAUGUUAAAGUUGUUGACAUGAAUAUGGGAAGUAUAUUCCUAUGCAAAGAUCAAGGCAGUUCUACAGAGGUGCCAUUAAUUAUCACCGGUUUCAUGCUGAUAUGUUUUUGGGUGUCAUUGAUAGACAGGUUCAAGAGCUCAAUAAUAGGUUUGAUGAGGUAAACACAGAGCUACUUAGAUGCAUGGCAUCAUUCAGUCCAGCUAAUUCCUUUUCUGCUUUUAAUGUUGAGAACUUGGUUAAGCUUGCUGGGUUCUAUCCACAUGACUUUGAAUUUCAAUAAAUAAACCAGCUUCAUUUUCAGUUGCACCACUAUAUCAAUGAUGUAAGAAAUGAUGAAAACUUCAAAAAUUUGAGAAGUCUAGCAGAGUUGUCUAUGAUGCUAGUUAAAGAAGGAAAGGUUUCUCGGUAUGACAUUGUUUAUAAACUUCUCAAAUUGGUGCUUGUUCUCCCUGUUGCAACUGCUGGUGUUGAGAGGGUCUUUUCUAUAAUGAAUUUGAUAAAGAACAAGAGAAGAAGUAAGAUGGGGCAGAAAUAUUUGAAUGGUUGCUUGGUCACAUUGAUUGAAAGGGAAUUCUUCAUGCAAGCUAAGGAUAAGGACAUCAUCGCUCAUUUCCAAAGCAUUGCAGAACGGAAAGUUGUCCUAUAGCUUGUAAGUUAUAAUCUUUGUUACCAUUUUACUGUUUUAGCCUCUAUUUAUUUCACAUGUUGCCACUUUGAUAUGUUGAUCAUUAGUAGCUGGACAAUUUCAAUUUCUGAUAAAUUUUAUUAAUCAAUGAUGCUGCUACCACUUAAUUAUUAUGUGUUAUAAAACUAUAAUUUAGUCUGUCAUUUUUUUUCCUGCCAUCUUCAAUUUUGAAUACCCAUAGUCCAAAUCCUGCGCCCGCCACUGAGGGAGGAUCGCAAUUCUGGACAAGACUGAACAAGGUGAAGGAUUGGUACAAGUUUGGGAGAGUGAUUGUAAUUGGGGAUGGGAAAAGAACCAGAUUUUGGCAGAUGUUUGGAGCGGGCAGUAUGCAUUUAAAAUCUUAUACCCUCGGCUUUACAGAAUAUGCAGCGAAGCUGAUAUUUCGGUUGAGGAGCAUGAUGUGGAAGCACCGACUUUUAGAAGGGAUUUUGGAGAGGCAGGGGCGAGCUGCACGAGGCUCUGGAAAAUGUAGAGUUGACCGAUCAAAAAUACAUUGCGUCCUGGAAGCUGGAGAAAUAUGGACGCUAUUCCACAAGAUCCCUAUAAAGAUUGAUUAUUGAUCCAGGCUGUGUUGAGUUGAGAAUUACAGACAUAUGGAAUACUAGACUUGCAUUGAAGGUCAAGAUUUUCUUGUGGAUGCUAUGGAAAGACAAGAUUCAAACAGCUUUACAGUUGAAGAAGAGAAAUUUGGAUGGGCCUAUUCAUUGCAAACUCUCUGGUAAAGUAGAGGGGGUCAACCACUUAGUGUUUACCUUUGGUGGUUUUUGUGCGGUCCUGGGUAAGAGAUGCACUGGGCUGGGAUAGUACAUCCACAGGGCUGAGGCAAUUUGACGAAAAGUUUAAGUGGUAGUAUUGUGCAUUGUAAAAGAGCUCCAAACUGAAGGCUGGGCUGAUAUCGCUCCGAAAGAACUGAAGGUGGCCUGAGCUUUUCAAGUUCUGAUUCUACACUGUUUUUUUUCUUCUUCUUUCAAAUCUGUACGCUGUUGGGUCACUGUUUUAGAUGUCCCUCAGACCUGCGCCUUCAAUCUCUCAGUUUGUAAGGGUGUCAUGAGGGAGCGUGUUUUUUGAGUUUGCUUGUUACCUGGAGGGGGUCGUACCUUUUUUUAAGUUUCCUGUACGGGUGAUUUUAAGCUGGUGACUGCAGCAGGACUAAUGGCUGGGCUUUCAAUAAAAUCUGGACCAUCGGCCUUUUGUCUAAAAAGGUAUUUUGGAGGAUUGGAAUCAUAUAGGACAUUUUCCUACGAACACGUUUAGAAAAUAGCUUGUUCCAUUGGGAUUUUGGAAGAAUUUUACUGAACUUCAUGGAAAGUUUUCUUAGUGCCACUCUUUCAUAAAAUUCCUGUGUUGUCUUACACUCUAUCCAAACAUCCAUUCUUGCAUUUCUUGUGUUUCCUUAUCCCACAGGCCUCAAGGUAUCAUCAAGUUCUAUUUUUAUGUUUUUCCUAUUCAUACGUUUCUAGGGUCAUGUAUUCCACAUGGACCGGAAAUUGUAAGUGAUGAGGUGCUAUGGUUAUGAGUAGGGUAUUC
This 32116-nucleotide long non-coding RNA is filed under the name Setaria italica (foxtail millet). RNAcentral describes it as "long non-coding RNA (SITA_LNC004566)". Lineage: Eukaryota; Viridiplantae; Streptophyta; Magnoliopsida; Poales; Poaceae. The record is from RNAcentral.